This 663-nucleotide ribosomal RNA is filed under the name Triticum aestivum (bread wheat). RNAcentral's name for it is "partial small subunit ribosomal RNA". The record is from RNAcentral. Lineage: Eukaryota; Viridiplantae; Streptophyta; Magnoliopsida; Poales; Poaceae.
AUGUCCGCCGGACCGACGACGGCCAGGACGACGUCCGGCGUCCAGCGCUGGAACGAGGAGCUCGACCAGGCUGAGCUGGGCGUCCAACCGGACAAGGCAGCAGUCCACGCCGGCGAGUGCGUGCAUGGCCCACCCCUCCGCCCACGGCGAUGCGGCUCCCGGCUGCGCAGCCGCAGCGUGGAGCAUCCGCGCGUAUGUGUAUGCGUCAGCGGCCACCCUACACGCUGCAUCUUCAUGAAUACGCCUAUUAAAUCCAGACUUGCAGCAAGGCGUCGCCGCGGACUUUACUGGCCCAACGCUGCCGUGAUGGCCGCCACACUCCUCACGCGGACACCAUGGCCUGGACGCAGCAACGUGACACCACAUCACUACGCCUACACUAGAUUCAGCAAAGGAACUCCGGCCCAUCCAACUUUCAGUGCAGCCAUACAUCCUUCAGCCUUCUACACCACGCCGGCAAGCCGGAAAGUGCUACAACAGUGGCAGCGCUCUCCCAGGCACUUGGGCUGCCCACAACUCCUACAAAAUAAAUUGGCACAAGCUUACUCACAUAGAUUUGCAGAUCGGCGCGUGUUAAAAAUAUGUACAUGCAGAUGGAUCAUUCGCAGAUCAUCUUUAUCGGGAAGGACUACUUCUCAAGCGACUACUGCCUUUAUCAAGUAA